GAUGAACGCUGGCGGCGUGCCUAAUACAUGCAAGUCGAGCGAACAGACGAGGAUUGUGCCCCGCUUACGUUAGCGGCGGACGGGUGAGUAACACGUGGAUAACCUACCUAUAGGACUGGGGUAACUUCGGGAAACCGGAUCUAAUAUCCGUCAAGAUAGUGAACCGCAUGGUUCAUUAGUGAAAGAGCUUUUUGCUGUCACUUAUAGAUGUAUCCGCGCCGCAUUAGCUAGUUGGUAAGGUAACGGCUUACCAAGGCAACGAUGCGUAGCCGAUCUGAGAGGGUGAUCAGCCACACUGGAACUGAGACACGGUCCAGACUCCUACGGGAGGCAGCAGUAGGGAAUCUUCCGCAAUGGGCGAAAGCUUGACGGAGCAACGCCGCGUGAGUGAUGAAGGUCUUCGGAUCGUAAAACUCUGUUAUUAGGGAAGAACAACUGUGAAAGUAAAUAUGCACGUCUUGACGGUACCUAAUGAGAAAGCAACGGCUAACUACGUG
RNAcentral lists this ribosomal RNA (497 nucleotides) under uncultured bacterium. RNAcentral's name for it is "partial 16S ribosomal RNA". It matches the Rfam family "Bacterial small subunit ribosomal RNA", at positions 28 to 507 of the family's 1533-position model. The record is from RNAcentral.